RNAcentral lists this transfer RNA (23 nucleotides) under Lolium arundinaceum. RNAcentral also lists the same sequence under 9 other names. Lineage: Eukaryota; Viridiplantae; Streptophyta; Magnoliopsida; Poales; Poaceae. The record is from RNAcentral.
CAAGAAAAGGUCAGGAUAGCUCA